RNAcentral lists this unclassified non-coding RNA (263 nucleotides) under Rhodiola chrysanthemifolia. RNAcentral describes it as "partial internal trancribed spacer 1". The record is from RNAcentral. Lineage: Eukaryota; Viridiplantae; Streptophyta; Magnoliopsida; Saxifragales; Crassulaceae.
CAAGGUUUCCGUAGGUGAACCUGCGGAAGGAUCAUUGUCGAAGCCUAGAAAGCAUGACCGUGGACAAGUUGUUAAUCGYGGAUGCACUUGGAUCCUUCGGGUACUCCAUUUGCCUUCCCCUCGGUCGGUGUUGAGCCUUGCGCCCAUCGCUGAUCGAAACGAAUGAACCCCGGCGCGGAUCGCGCCAAGGAAUCGAAACCGAAAGAGCCUGGCUCGGUGGCUCGUUCUCGAGCUGCCAGGGCCAUAGGUCUAUUCAAAAUACC